UACGAAGGGGGCUAGCGUUGCUCGGAAUCACUGGGCGUAAAGCGCACGUAGGCGGCUUACUAAGUCAGGGGUGAAAUCCUGGAGCUCAACUCCAGAACUGCCUUUGAUACUGGUGAGCUUGGGUCCGGGAGAGGUGAGUGGAACUGCGAGUGUAGAGGUGAAAUUCGUAGAUAUUCGCAAGAACACCAGUGGCGAAGGCGGCUCACUGGCCCGGUACUGACGCUGAGGUGCGAAAGCGUGGGGAGCAAACAGG
This 253-nucleotide ribosomal RNA is filed under the name uncultured bacterium. RNAcentral's name for it is "partial 16S ribosomal RNA". It matches the Rfam family "Bacterial small subunit ribosomal RNA", at positions 524 to 776 of the family's 1533-position model. The record is from RNAcentral.